GGACCAUCAUGUCGGUCGUGCCUCGGUACGUACUGGCAUUGCUGGUUUCUCCUCUGACGAACCAUGAUGUCAUUUAUUUGGUGUUGUGGGAUGACAGGACUGUUACUUUGAAAAAUUAGAGUGUUUAAAGCAGGCUCACGCUUGAAUACAUUAGCAUGGAAUAAUGAAAUAGGACGUUUGAUUCUAUUUUGUUGGUUUCUAGGAUCGACGUAAUGAUUAAUAGGGAUAGUUGGGC
This 235-nucleotide ribosomal RNA is filed under the name uncultured Glomeromycotina. Its description in RNAcentral is "partial 18S ribosomal RNA". The stretch from base 46 to 235 matches the Rfam family "Eukaryotic small subunit ribosomal RNA", at positions 695 to 887 of the family's 1831-position model. Lineage: Eukaryota; Fungi; Glomeromycota. The record is from RNAcentral.